GCUGGGCGUGAUGGCGCACGCCUGUAGUCCCAGCUACCAGGGAGGCUGAGGCUGGAGGAUCACUUAGUCCAGGAGUUCCGGGCUCCAGUGAGCUAUGCCGAUUGGUUGUCCGCAAUUAGUUUGGCAUCAGUAUGGUGACCUCCUUGGAGCGGGGGACCACCAGGCUGCCUAAGGAGGGGUGAACCGGCCCAGGUCAGAAACGGAGCAGGUCAAAACUACGGUGCUGAUCAGUAGUGGGAUUGCACAUGUGAAUAGCCACUGCACUCCAGUCUGGGCAACACAGUGAGACCCUGUCUCU
Molecule: signal recognition particle RNA, 298 nt
Filed under: Carlito syrichta (Philippine tarsier)
Lineage: Eukaryota; Metazoa; Chordata; Mammalia; Primates; Tarsiidae
Description: Metazoan signal recognition particle RNA (ENSTSYG00000028053.1)
Rfam family: Metazoan signal recognition particle RNA
About the family: The signal recognition particle (SRP) is a universally conserved ribonucleoprotein. It is involved in the co-translational targeting of proteins to membranes. The eukaryotic SRP consists of a 300-nucleotide 7S RNA and six proteins: SRPs 72, 68, 54, 19, 14, and 9.
Source: RNAcentral